This is a non-coding RNA of Acanthosepion pharaonis, 111 nucleotides long. Lineage: Eukaryota; Metazoa; Mollusca; Cephalopoda; Sepiida; Sepiidae. The record is from the annotation of a GenBank genome assembly.
UACGGCCACAUCACAUUGAAACACCAGUUCUCAUUCGAUCACCGAAGUUAAGCAACGUUGAACCUAGUCAAUACCUAGAUGGGUAACUGCCGGAGAAUUCCAGGUGCUGUA